GAUGAACGCUGGCGGCGUGCCUAAUACAUGCAAGUCGAGCGAACAGAUGAGGAGCUUGCUCCUCUGACGUUAGCCGCAGACGGGUGAGUAACACGUGGAUCACCUACCUAUAAGACUGGUAUAACUUCGGGAAACCGGAGCUUAUACCGGAUAAUAUAUUGAAGCGCAGGGUGCAAUGGUAAGAUACGGUUUUUCGGGCACGUAUAGAGGGAUACGCGCCGCAUUAGCUAGUUGGUAAGGUAACAGCUUACGAAGGCAACGAGGCGUAUCCGACGUGAGAGGGUGAUCGCCCACCCUGGAACUGAGACACGGUCCAGACGCCUACGAGAGGCAGCAGAAGGGUAUGGUCCGCAACGGGCGAGAGUAUGGCGGAGUAAGGGGGAGUGAGUGAUGACGGUCUUCGGAGCGUAAAAAUCUGUUACUAGGUAUGAACCAAUGUGUACGUAACUAUGGCCGUAUUGACGGUAACUAAUAAGAAAGCACCGGCUAACUACGUG
RNAcentral lists this ribosomal RNA (497 nucleotides) under uncultured bacterium. Its description in RNAcentral is "partial 16S ribosomal RNA". It matches the Rfam family "Bacterial small subunit ribosomal RNA", at positions 28 to 507 of the family's 1533-position model. The record is from RNAcentral.